UAACAGAUGCGAGACCAUGGUGAGG
RNAcentral lists this small RNA (25 nucleotides) under Bombyx mori (domestic silkworm). RNAcentral's name for it is "ovarian small RNA-18600". The record is from RNAcentral. Lineage: Eukaryota; Metazoa; Arthropoda; Insecta; Lepidoptera; Bombycidae.